This 253-nucleotide ribosomal RNA is filed under the name uncultured prokaryote. Its description in RNAcentral is "partial 16S ribosomal RNA". It matches the Rfam family "Bacterial small subunit ribosomal RNA", at positions 525 to 777 of the family's 1533-position model. The record is from RNAcentral.
ACGAAGGGGGCUAGCGUUGUUCGGAAUUACUGGGCGUAAAGCGCACGUAGGCGGGUUUGUAAGUAGGGGGUGAAAUCCCAGGGCUCAACCCUGGAACUGCCUUCUAGACUGCAAGCCUGGAGGUCAGGAGAGGCGAGUGGAAUACCGAGUGUAGAGGUGAAAUUCGUAGAUAUUAGGAAGAACACCAGUGGCGAAGGCGGCUCACUGGUCCGGUACUGACGCUGAGGUGCGAAAGCGUGGGGAGCAAACAGGA